GACGAACGCUGGCGGCGUGCCUAAUACAUGCAAGUUGAGCGCUGAAGGUUGGUACUUGUACCAACUGGAUGAGCAGCGAACGGGUGAGUAACGCGUGGGGAAUCUGCCUUUGAGCGGGGGACAACAUUUGGAAACGAAUGCUAAUACCGCAUAAAAACUUUAAACACAAGUUUUAAGUUUGAAAGAUGCAAUUGCAUCACUCAAAGAUGAUCCCGCGUUGUAUUAGCUAGUUGGUGAGGUAAAGGCUCACCAAGGCGAUGAUACAUAGCCGACCUGAGAGGGUGAUCGGCCACAAUGGGACUGAGACACGGCCCAAACUCCUACGGGAGGCAGCAGUAGGGAAUCUUCGGCAAUGGACGAAAGUCUGACCGAGCAACGCCGCGUGAGGGAAGAAGGUUGUCGGAUCGUAAAACUCUGUUGGUAGAGAAGAACGUUGGUGAGAGUGGAAAGCUCAUCAAGUGACGGUAACUACUCAGAAAGGGACGGCUAACUACGUG
This 497-nucleotide ribosomal RNA is filed under the name uncultured bacterium. RNAcentral's name for it is "partial 16S ribosomal RNA". It matches the Rfam family "Bacterial small subunit ribosomal RNA", at positions 28 to 507 of the family's 1533-position model. The record is from RNAcentral.